This 299-nucleotide long non-coding RNA is filed under the name Physcomitrium patens. RNAcentral's name for it is "long non-coding RNA (PPAT_LNC001398)". The record is from RNAcentral. Lineage: Eukaryota; Viridiplantae; Streptophyta; Bryopsida; Funariales; Funariaceae.
CUUAGCAAUUGUUAUUCGAAGUCAGGGUUUGUAUCAGUGAUUUGGAUUUUAUAUAAUAUAAUUUGGGCUAAUAAUUUUGACUAGUUUGUGAAAUUGGUAUAAAAUCUAUAAUUGAAAUUUUGAUAUUAUUUGGAUUAUUGGGUGUGCUAAGUGUAUACAAAAUUUUGUGAUAAUCUAAUGACAUGGUUUAGAGUUAUCUACUUUUUAGCACAAGAGGGUUUCAAAAGGUGGUAAUUUGAGGUUGGGUAGGGUUUCUAUGAUAUCUGAAGAUCUAUCAGUCGAAUUAAGGUGAAAAUUGG